Chiloscyllium plagiosum (whitespotted bambooshark) is the source of this 341-nucleotide non-coding RNA. The record is from RefSeq and is a predicted model, not a curated record. NCBI's taxonomy places the organism in Eukaryota, Metazoa, Chordata, Chondrichthyes, Orectolobiformes, Hemiscylliidae.
GAAUUAUGCAACAUGGAUAGCUUUUUUCCACUUUUCCUCAGCCUAUCAAGAAGUCAAAAAAGUGACUGAAUUCACUUCUGGGGUCUGCACCAUUGUAUAAAAGGAAUAGACAACAUGCAAAACCAGCACAACAAUUGGAGCAAGGAAUAGCAACCAGAACUUCUCCAGAGCUUCAAAGCAAAAUGCUUGCCAUCUACCUACUUCUACUCAGCUCUUCUGUGACUGCACUUGAAAUGUGCCCUGAACAAAUACUUCAUGAAAUUAAGAACAGUAUUUACGCACUGAAGAAUUUGACAUAUUCAACACAGCUGUCAACUCCGAUCGUGUUUGGGGUAUGCAAA